GCUAUCUGCAGUCGAGGGGCAGCACAGGGUAGCAAUACUGGGUGGCGACCGGCAAACGGGUGCGGAACACGUACGUAACCUUCCUCUAAAUGGAGCAUAGCCCGAAGAAAUUCGGAUUAAUACUCCAUAAGAUUGUAGAGUGGCAUCACUCAGCAAUUAAAGAAAUUCGUUUAGAGAUGGGCGUGCGGCUGAUUAGGUAGUUGGUGAGGUAACGGCUCACCAAGCCGACGAUCAGUAACUGGCGUGAGAGCGCGACCAGUCACACGGGCACUGAGACACGGGCCCGACUCCUACGGGAGGCAGCAGUAAGGAAUAUUGGUCAAUGGACGCAAGUCUGAACCAGCCAUGCCGCGUGAAGGAUGAAGGUCCUCUGGAUUGUAAACUUCUUUUAUAUGGGAAGAAACCACUUUUAUCUAAAGGUGUUGACGGUACCAUAGGAAUAAGCACCGGCUAACUCCGUGCCAGCAGCCGCGGUAAUACGGAGGGUGCAAGCGUUAUCCGGAUUCACUGGGUUUAAAGGGUGCGUAGGCGGAUUAGUAAGUCCGUGGUGAAAUCUCCGAGCUUAACUCGGAAACUGCCGUGGAUACUAUUAAUCUUGAAUGUUGUGGAGGUUAGCGGAAUAUGUCAUGUAGCGGUGAAAUGCUUAGAUAUGACAUAGAACACCAAUUGCGAAGGCAGCUGGCUACACAAAUAUUGACGCUGAGGCACGAAAGCGUGGGGAUCAAACAGGAUUAGAUACCCUGGUAGUCCACGCCCUAAACGAUGAUUACUCGACAUUUGCGAUAUACAGUAAGUGUCUGAGCGAAAGCAUUAAGUAAUCCACCUGGGAAGUACGACCGCAAGGUUGAAA
RNAcentral lists this ribosomal RNA (850 nucleotides) under uncultured bacterium. RNAcentral describes it as "bacterial SSU rRNA". It matches the Rfam family "Bacterial small subunit ribosomal RNA", at positions 50 to 899 of the family's 1533-position model. The record is from RNAcentral.